GGGCCCAUAGUCGAAUGGUUAAGACGCUACUCUCACACAGUAGAGACUGGGGGUUCGAUUCCCUCUGGGCCCAC
This 74-nucleotide transfer RNA is filed under the name Candidatus Anstonella stagnisolia. RNAcentral describes it as "tRNA-Val(cac)". It matches the Rfam family "tRNA". From Rfam's summary of the family: Transfer RNA (tRNA) molecules are approximately 80 nucleotides in length. Their secondary structure includes four short double-helical elements and three loops (D, anti-codon, and T loops). Lineage: Archaea; Nanobdellati; Microcaldota; Candidatus Micrarchaeia; Candidatus Anstonellales; Candidatus Anstonellaceae. The record is from RNAcentral.